GUGCAGCAGUCGAGAAACCUCCGCAAUGCGGGAAACCGCGACGGGGUCAGCCGGAGUGCUCGCGCAUUGCGCGGGCUGUCGGGGUGCCUAAAAGCACCCCAUAGCAAGGGCCGGGCAAGGCCGGUGGCAGCCGCCGCGGUAAUACCAGCUCUCCGAGUGGUGGGGACGCUUAUUGGGCCUAAAGCAUCCGUAGCCGGUCUGGCAAGUCCCUUGUUAAAUCCAACGAUUCAAUCGUUGGACUGCAAGGGAUACUGCCAGACUAGGGGGCGGGAGAGGCCGACGGUAUUCCCGGGGUAGGGGUGAAAUCCUAUAAUCCCGGGAGGACCACCAGUGGCGAAGGCUGUCGGCUAGAACGCGCCCGACGGUGAGGGAUGAAAGCUGGGGGAGCGAACCGGAUUAGAUACCCGUGUAGU
RNAcentral lists this ribosomal RNA (413 nucleotides) under uncultured microorganism. Its description in RNAcentral is "bacterial SSU rRNA". It matches the Rfam family "Archaeal small subunit ribosomal RNA", at positions 330 to 745 of the family's 1478-position model. The record is from RNAcentral.